UAUGUUUGGAACUUAGAAUUACUUAAUGUUCUGGAAGAUAAGCAGAAAUGAUUGAACACGAUGUUCAAUCAAGCCGCCAUGCGUACAGGGUCAUAAUUUAUAUCAGAACAUCUUAGAAUUUCUUAGUUUCAAUACAU
Non-coding RNA from Clostridium sp. CAG:127, 137 nucleotides. The record is from Rfam. Lineage: Bacteria; Bacillati; Bacillota; Clostridia; Eubacteriales; Clostridiaceae.